This is a long non-coding RNA of Hordeum vulgare subsp. vulgare (domesticated barley), 425 nucleotides long. RefSeq lists it as uncharacterized. NCBI's taxonomy places the organism in Eukaryota, Viridiplantae, Streptophyta, Magnoliopsida, Poales, Poaceae. The record is from RefSeq and is a predicted model, not a curated record. The transcript has 2 exons.
CUAGAAACGAGAAUAGGAGGUUUGAGUAACAGUCUGAUCUUAUAUGGAGGGAAAAACUAUUCUUCUUUGCCUUAUGGUGCUUGUGCAGCUAGGAAAUUCCAUUCAUGUUGAGCAAUGCAGGACAGAAAUUGCCUCUUCAGGCACCACAUGCAUAGAACUAUCUUGCCGUUUUGCCUGCGAGAAUACCUUCGGAAAUCAUGCCAUCGGAUCAGCGUGUAGGGCCAUUAGCCUAACCACGCUGAAUUGUUACUGCAAGGUCUGUGACUAGAGUUUCACUAAACCAUUGUACGAAUCAAAUAAUGGAUAAUGAUGUGAUCUAGCAAUAAAAUCCUCUUGUGACAUGAAGGUCAGAAUGUAUAUUGAUCACCAAUUUUGAGUGUUAUGUAUUACUCCCCGUUUAAAUAAAUGACUCAACUUUGUUCUAA